Legionella israelensis is the source of this 161-nucleotide non-coding RNA. It matches the Rfam family "6S / SsrS RNA". Rfam says of the family: E. coli 6S RNA was the first non coding RNA to be sequenced, but its function was unknown until recently. It consists of 184 nucleotides that fold into an extended hairpin structure with a large single-stranded internal bulge. The 6S RNA specifically associates with RNA polymerase holoenzyme containing the sigma70 specificity factor. The record is from Rfam. NCBI's taxonomy places the organism in Bacteria, Pseudomonadati, Pseudomonadota, Gammaproteobacteria, Legionellales, Legionellaceae.
CUAGACCCGAUGACAAGUGAUUUAUGAACCAACACUCAUAAACAGGGGAGCAUCCUGUAGUCGGCGUUGAGCAAGCCCACCUUGAAGUGGGAAGCCUGAACCGGCACAUCCGCCCCCCACUUGAACUGCAAGGUUCAAAGUCUGAAGUCGUCGGGUUGUUU